UGACUGGUGAAAAGACUGAGAGAUGAUC
This 28-nucleotide non-coding RNA is filed under the name Mus musculus (house mouse). The record is from RNAcentral. Lineage: Eukaryota; Metazoa; Chordata; Mammalia; Rodentia; Muridae.